RNAcentral lists this ribosomal RNA (432 nucleotides) under uncultured Caulobacteraceae bacterium. Its description in RNAcentral is "bacterial SSU rRNA". It matches the Rfam family "Bacterial small subunit ribosomal RNA", at positions 342 to 791 of the family's 1533-position model. The record is from RNAcentral. Lineage: Bacteria; Pseudomonadati; Pseudomonadota; Alphaproteobacteria; Caulobacterales; Caulobacteraceae.
CGGGGGGCAGCAGUGGGGAAUCUUGCGCAAUGGGCGAAAGCCUGACGCAGCCAUGCCGCGUGAAUGAUGAAGGUCUUAGGAUUGUAAAAUUCUUUCACCGAGGACGAUAAUGACGGUACUCGGAGAAGAAGCCCCGGCUAACUUCGUGCCAGCAGCCGCGGUAAUACGAAGGGGGCUAGCGUUGCUCGGAAUUACUGGGCGUAAAGGGAGCGUAGGCGGAUAGUUUAGUCAGAGGUGAAAGCCCAGGGCUCAACCUUGGAAUUGCCUUUGAUACUGGCUAUCUUGAGUACGGAAGAGGUAUGUGGAACUCCGAGUGUAGAGGUGAAAUUCGUAGAUAUUCGGAAGAACACCAGUGGCGAAGGCGACAUACUGGUCCGUUACUGACGCUGAGGCUCGAAAGCGUGGGGAGCAAACAGGAUUAGAUACCCCAGU